RNAcentral lists this ribosomal RNA (250 nucleotides) under uncultured bacterium. RNAcentral's name for it is "partial 16S ribosomal RNA". It matches the Rfam family "Bacterial small subunit ribosomal RNA", at positions 524 to 773 of the family's 1533-position model. The record is from RNAcentral.
GACAGAGGGUGCAAACGUUGUUCGGAAUUACUGGGCGUAAAGCGAGUGUAGGCGGCCAUGCAAGUCGGGUGUGAAAUCCCGGGGCUCAACCCCGGACGUGCAUUCGAAACUGCGUGGCUAGAGUCCCGGAGAGGAAGGUGGAAUGCUUGGUGUAGAGGUGAAAUUCGUAGAUAUCAAGCAGAACACCCGUGGCGAAGGCGGCCUUCUGGACGGUGACUGACGCUGAGACUCGAAAGCGUGGGGAGCAAAC